GUAGGUGGCAAGCGUUGUCCGGAAUUAUUGGGCGUAAAGCGCGCGCAGGCGGUUCUUUAAGUCUGAUGUGAAAGCCCACGGCUCAACCGUGGAGGGUCAUUGGAAACUGGAGAACUUGAGUACAGAAGAGGAAAGCGGAAUUCCACGUGUAGCGGUGAAAUGCGUAGAGAUGUGGAGGAACACCAGUGGCGAAGGCGGCUUUCUGGUCUGUAACUGACGCUGAGGCGCGAAAGCGUGGGGAGCAAACAGGAUUAGAUACCCUGGUAGUCCACGCCGUAAACGGUGAGUGCUAAGUGUUAGGGGGGUUUCCGCCCCCUUAGUGCUGCAGCUAACGCAUUAAGCACUCCGCCUGGGGAUACGGCCGCAAGGCUG
This 372-nucleotide ribosomal RNA is filed under the name uncultured organism. RNAcentral describes it as "partial 16S ribosomal RNA". It matches the Rfam family "Bacterial small subunit ribosomal RNA", at positions 527 to 896 of the family's 1533-position model. The record is from RNAcentral.